Molecule: long non-coding RNA, 299 nt
Filed under: Ananas comosus (pineapple)
Lineage: Eukaryota; Viridiplantae; Streptophyta; Magnoliopsida; Poales; Bromeliaceae
Description: long non-coding RNA (ACOM_LNC027697)
Source: RNAcentral
GCUAUUAAAUAAUACAAAACAACCGUUAUUUUCUAAAAAUUUAAGUUACUAAAAUAUAGUAUAUAUAAAUAUUUCUAUAUUUAACACUUUACUCACAUCUAGGCUCAAAACUUUUUGCUGGGCUAAUAACAUGGACCUGAAUUAUAUGGAAAAAAAUUAAUAAUGUUAAGAGUCUGACGUGACUUGAACUCACGACCGUCUACGUACUCUUAUAUAUAUCAUGUUAAAUAUUAUGAAAUAGUAGUUAUUUUUUAAAAAUUUAAACUAGUAAAGAACAGUGCUUAAAUAUUUUUUAUACU